GCCAGGCAUAGUAGUGUGCACCUGUAGUCCCAGCUGCUUGGGAGGCUAAGGCAGGAGGUUCACUUGGGCCCAGGAGUUUGAGACCAGCCUGGGCAACAUGGUGAAACCCUGUU
Molecule: small RNA, 113 nt
Filed under: Marmota monax (woodchuck)
Lineage: Eukaryota; Metazoa; Chordata; Mammalia; Rodentia; Sciuridae
Source: RNAcentral